GGGGCUGUUUAUGGUUUCGACAGAUAUAAAAAAGCUUAAUUCGGCAAGUCGGAGGUACACGUCACGUACAAACAGAAAAUAACUGGAAAAAAUAAAUUAACUAACAUACUUAGUAGAUUAAGUAGCGCUUUCGCUACUCCUACUUUUGCCUAAUAUAAGUGCGAGUACGGCUCUUUUUAUUCUUUCUCCUAUUGGGAAUUUAUAAGGGCUCGAUAAAAAUAGGAUAUAUUAUUAUUUAGCUUGGAAAUAAUAAUGAAUGAUACAAGCUUACUUAUAAAAUAGACGUUCACAUCUAAUUUUUAUAAGGACAUCAUUUGUGAACUAAACUUGUAGAUGGUUAGGGAGUUUUAUAUUUGGACAGGAGUUCGACUCUCCUCAGCUCCACCA
This 387-nucleotide transfer-messenger RNA is filed under the name Bacilli. Its description in RNAcentral is "UMGS2016 sp905203475 Standard tmRNA". It matches the Rfam family "transfer-messenger RNA". Rfam says of the family: Bacterial tmRNA, also known as 10Sa RNA or SsrA, is named for its dual tRNA and mRNA-like properties. Its role is to liberate the mRNA from a stalled ribosome. The record is from RNAcentral. Lineage: Bacteria; Bacillati; Bacillota. RNAcentral also lists the same sequence under 1 other name.